Molecule: ribosomal RNA, 910 nt
Filed under: Microweisea sp. ccoc121
Lineage: Eukaryota; Metazoa; Arthropoda; Insecta; Coleoptera; Coccinellidae
Description: eukaryotic LSU rRNA
Rfam family: Eukaryotic large subunit ribosomal RNA
Source: RNAcentral
AGCACCGAAUCCCGCGGUCGUAUCGAUCGCCGGGAAAUGUGGUGUUAGGAAGGAUCCGUUAUCUUCGUGCACGUCGACUCGUCCAAGUCCAUCUUGAACGGGGCCACAACCCAUAGAGGGUGCCAGGCCCGUAGGACGGCGACGGUCGCGGAGAGGGUCACUUCCGAGAGUCGGGUUGCUUGAGAGUGCAGCCCUAAGUGGGUGGUAAACUCCAUCUAAGGCUAAAUAUGACCACGAGACCGAUAGCGAACAAGUACCGCGAGGGAAAGUUGAAAAGAACUUUGAAGAGAGAGUUCAAUAGUACGUGAAACCGUUCAGGGGUAAACCUGAGAAACCCGAAAGGUCGAACGGAGAGAUUCAUUCGCGGUACGGUCGUACGUCCGUCGCGUCGGGAUGACGUGUCGCUUUAACGAGCGAUUCGCCCCUUCUCGUCGGAUCGGUACGUCGAACGCGUGCACUUCUCUCCAAGUAGGACGUCGCGAUCCGUUGGGUGCCGGUCGAAGGUUUCGUGAGGAAGCCCGCGAACGCGAUGCAAAUCGAAGUUUACGGACCUACGUUAUCCUGUCCGGCCGCCCGACGGUAUACAGACGGUGAGAGACCGCGAUCGUUCGCGCCCGGUCGAUCGCAAACACGCUUUACGCGUCGGCUCUCGGAAUUACCGCCGAAGCUGGCCUCUAGCGGUUGUUGGCGGUCGUUUUCUCGGGCAGAUCUCUUGUGUUUUAACCGAUCUGCGACGCUACAGCUUUGGGUACUCUCAGGACCCGUCUUGAAACACGGACCAAGGAGUCCAGCGUGUGCGCGAGUCAUUGGGUCCGACUAAACCUAAAGGCGUAAUGAAAGUAAAGAUCCGUCAGGAUCUAGGGAAGAUGACCGACCCUUUACGGUCGGUCCGCACUCCCGGGGUGUCUCG